This 380-nucleotide ribosomal RNA is filed under the name uncultured eukaryote. RNAcentral's name for it is "partial 18S ribosomal RNA". It matches the Rfam family "Eukaryotic small subunit ribosomal RNA", at positions 592 to 976 of the family's 1831-position model. The record is from RNAcentral.
CAAUAGCGUAUAUUAAAGUUGUUGCAGUUAAAAAGCUCGUAGUUGGAUUUGUGGCGUACGGUGUGUUCCGGGCACUUGUGGUCUGAGUAACCUGCUGUUGCCAUCCUUGGGUGGAACCUGUGUGGCAUUAGGUUGUCGUGCAGGGGAUGCCCAUCAUUUACUGUGAAAAAAUUAGAGUGUUCAAAGCAGGCUUAUGCCGUUGAAUAUAUUAGCAUGGAAUAAUGAGAUAGGACUUUUUUGCUAUUUUGUUGGUUUGCGCAAAGAGGUAAUGAUUAAUAGGGACAGUUGGGGGUAUUCGUAUUCCAUUGUCAGAGGUGAAAUUCUUGGAUUUUUGGAAGACGAACUACUGCGAAAGCAUUUACCAAGGAUGUUUUCAUUAA